This 324-nucleotide ribosomal RNA is filed under the name uncultured eukaryote. RNAcentral's name for it is "partial 18S ribosomal RNA". It matches the Rfam family "Eukaryotic small subunit ribosomal RNA", at positions 1470 to 1796 of the family's 1831-position model. The record is from RNAcentral.
CCCUUAGAUGUCCUGGGCUGCACGCGCGCUACACUGAUGUGUCCAGUAAGCACCUAACCUCUUCCGAAAGGAACGGGUAACCUUUGCAAAGCACAUCGUGAUGGGGAUAGAUUAUUGCAAUUAUUAGUCUUGAACGAGGAAUUCCUAGUAAGCACAAGUCAUCAGCUUGUGUUGAUUACGUCCCUGCCCUUUGUACACACCGCCCGUCGCUCCUACCGAUUGAAUGUUCCGGUGAGCUCUUCGGACUGCGCGGUCUGCAGUUUCUGCGUUCCGUGCGGAAAGUUGCGCAAACCUUAACAUUUAGAGGAAGUAGAAGUCGUAACA